RNAcentral lists this long non-coding RNA (2376 nucleotides) under Homo sapiens (human). RNAcentral describes it as "HSALNT0012293". Lineage: Eukaryota; Metazoa; Chordata; Mammalia; Primates; Hominidae. The record is from RNAcentral.
CUAUAGAGCCCCAGGGGGAGUUUCCUCAGCCCUGGAAUUCAGGACACUUUCCUGCUUUUAUGAUACUGUCUUCACCCUCUGCAUACCAACCCCUCCCCAAUACAAAUUGGUGGCAAGUAGGUGGAGGAAGGAGGGUCCACUGGAGAACCCCCCCUUACCACCCAGCCCAGGAGCAAACAAUUUCUCCCCAGGGCUCAGAAGCUGCCUGUGAGCUUCUUGUUUGGGGCUCACACUGAGUUCCCCCUGUCCUUUAUUUGAGAUGAGUGACUCGUGACACCACAACUGCUGAAUCUACAGCCUCCAAAACCAUGCUGGGGUCCAAUCUCUAGCCCGGGCAGGAGGCAUUCUGCUGGUGCAUCUCAGUGUGCCCCCACGCUGUCCCGGGAAACAAACAGCAAAACAAGCAGAACAUGCCCACCCCAGAUGGGGAGUUAUGAAGCCUGACACCCAUCCAAAGCUCCUGCAGCUAGAUGUGGCUCUUGGCUCUGAUCCUGACCCCUCCUGGGGGCCUCAAUGGAUUCUGACCCAUGGAUUUGUUCCUGAGGGAAGAAUGCAUGUUGCAUUUUGCCAAGUUGCUCUCAGCUUUUUCCUGCCUGUAUGCCAUCUUUCUGCAAACUACCAGCGCUGGCCGCCUCGCACAGCGAUAAUCAGCCUGUCAGUCAAUAAACUGAAGAUGUUGGUGGUGUGCUGGGGUUGGUGGCCAGCAGUGAGAGCCCUGAGAGUUAUAAAUUCAAGAUGAGAAUUGAGAUGUUGCCAAGGCUUCACAGAGUCCCUGAUUUACUAGGAAAUUGUUCCCUAGCCUUGACUGCUGGCCCUGUUAUGCAAGGGACUUUGUGUGGGCUGGGGGGAUGGUUGAAGGAAAGACAAAAAAUAAAAGACCAGAAGCCAGUGUUUAGGCACAGUGGAUAGGACAUUCCCUACCCCACUGCAUUUGGUCACCUAUGGUCUGCUAUUUAACCUGUCUUAACCAUGUUCUGAUUUGCAUGUGCUUGCUUACUUUCUCCAACUAUUUUACAGACCCCUUGAAGGCAGACACUGGCUCAUAUUUCUGGUGUCUUCCUCCCCCACCCCAUUCUAGGCCUCUAGCACCACGCUGGGCUCAUGGGAAAGCCGAUUGAUUAACUGGCUGAAUGUGGAGGAGGAGGGGUUAAUUAAUCCUAGAAAGAAGGCCUCCCAGAGAAGUCCUCCAUGCCUGCUCCCUGAGGACCAUGAACCUCCCCUAGUCACCCUCUGCCAGCCCAGGCCCUCCUGAGCCUGGUUCUGACACUGUGGGCUCUAGACUGGGCCUUCCUCCUUCAGCCUCUGGGGACAGGUUGCUGGCCUGCAGUUCUGAAUAUUUCAGUUGGCUCCAUGCGUAGGGCCUGCUCCAAGGCCAAUCUGAAUGAAUUUGGCCACCUCCCUGUUUUACAAGUCCCGUUCCUAAACUGGAGCCUACAAACAUCUCCCUGCCUUCCUGCACAACGUGUGGCUCUGUUCCCUCAGAGAGAAAACAGUCUGAACCGUCCUGAGCCCAUUUCCUUUCCAGGUUUUGCUAGUCUCUUCUCUCGUUGAGGAAGGAUGUGCUGGGCCCCAGCCCUGGGUGUGCAUGGGGCAGCAACCUGGGCAGCAGUUAGAGAACAGCAAAGGAGGGUCUCCACUCUCCUGAAGCUCCCAGCCCACUGCGGGGACCAGAACAUAAGGAUCAUUGCGAAACCCGUCGAGGCCAUGUUUGCUUGAUAAGCACCACAUGUGUGGAGAGAGAGCUCAUCCCAGCCCAGCUUUGGCUCUCCUGGGUGGGCUGGGGUCUGGGGGGAACCCACAGAAAAAAUGGGAAGAGAAUGCUUCCAAGAGCAUGGAGAGCCAGCUCAGCUACUCACCAGCUGUGUGACUUUGGGCAAAUUACCUAACAUCUCAGGAGUUAGGUUCUUUAUCCACACACCAAGAUUCCCUGAUAUUCUAGGAUUCUGAUGGGGCAUGGCACAGAGCUGCAGCCUUGUUGCUACAAGGCUUUGAGAACUCACUGAGCUUGAGGCAGAGGUCCAGACCAGCAGGGAGGGGCCUGGGGCCUGUGAUCCUAAGCACAGCUUCUCAUGACUGCUAGGUGAGAGGGGUCACACCUGAGAGACUAUGGGGCCAGAACCGAAUCCUUGAGUCUGGAGAUCAGGUGCCUCAGGCCUGGGCUUCAACGCACCCCUGUCCCUGCUUCCCUGGGUCCAUGGCUGCAGUGAGCAAGAAAAAAAGAACCCUAGAUGGGGGGCGGGGCAGAAGCCACAUCAGCACCAACCAGGGCAAACAAAGAUGAACUGUCUUCUAGGCUUGAGGUUGUUCAUUUGCAAACAACAGUAUUUGAGUUGCCACUGUUCCCCGCCUGCCAGGCCAACAGAGGCUGUCUGUGCG